Molecule: long non-coding RNA, 17719 nt
Filed under: Medicago truncatula (barrel medic)
Lineage: Eukaryota; Viridiplantae; Streptophyta; Magnoliopsida; Fabales; Fabaceae
Description: long non-coding RNA (MTRU_LNC000607)
Source: RNAcentral
GGUGAUCGUGCUUAGUGUGCAGUUGCCGUCGUGAGUGGCCUUGCCUUCACUGUGUCGUCUAGGUCGCUCUGAUACGUAACGGGAUGGGGUUAUAUGCUAUAACAUGCUUCAUUCUCUUACGUGGAUAAUAUGUUAUUUUUAUUAUGUUAUGGAAUUUGAACUAUUUUGAUGGGGCCUACGUGCCAAAUUGAUUAUGAUUUUUGAAUUAAUAUUCCGCUGCUAUGUUAAAGAUAUUUGUGAAGGUUAAAUUAUUAUUUAACUGUUUUUGGAUUACGUUUCUAUGUGAUAUCCCGUUUAUGGCUUUUACUCUGAUAAAUGUUUAAGAAAUUUGUAUAUUGGGAAAACGGGGUGUUACAAUUGGUAUCAGAGCAGGUCGAUCCGUCCGGUCAAUUAGAGAGUCGUGUCGAGUCUUAGUAAUAUUUAUAUUACUAUCUUAUGUUGUUGUUGCUACUUUUGUAGAAUCUCGGAAAUGGCUGGAAGAAACGAUGCUGCGUUAGCUGCUGCUCUACAAGCUGUUGCCCAAGCUGUGGGACAACAACCUAACGUGAAUGCUGGUGCGAAUGCUGAAGCUAGGAUGUUGGAGACGUUCAUGAAGAAGAACCCUCCGACUUUCAAAGGACGUUAUGACCCUGAUGGAGCCCAGACGUGGCUUAAGGAGAUUGAGAGGAUUUUCCGGGUUAUGCAGUGCACGGAGGAUCAGAAAGUGCGAUUUGGUACUCAUCAGCUGGCCGAGGAAGCUGAUGACUGGUGGGUUGCUCUUCUGCCUACCCUUGGGCAGGAGGGAGCUGUUGUGACUUGGGCUGUUUUCAGGAGAGAGUUCCUGAGAAGAUACUUUCCGGAAGAUGUUCGCGGGAAGAAAGAGAUCGAAUUCCUUGAGCUGAAGCAAGGAAAUAUGUCCGUGACAGAGUAUGCUGCCAAGUUCGUGGAGCUGUCUAAGUUCUAUCCGCACUAUACUGCUGAGAAUGCUGAGUUCUCGAGAUGCAUCAAGUUCGAGAACGGUUUGAGGCCCGACAUUAAGAGGGCGAUUGGGUACCAACAGCUGAGAGUUUUUCAGGACUUGGUUAAUAGCUGCAGGAUCUACGAAGAGGAUACGAAGGCUCACUACAAGGUAGUGAAUGAAAGGAAGGGCAAGGGACAGCAGAGUCGUCCUAAGCCGUACAGUGCCCCUGCUGAUAAAGGGAAACAGAAGAUGGUCGAUGUUAGGCGGCCUAAGAAGAAGGAUGCUGCAGAGAUUGUGUGUUUCAAUUGUGGUGAGAAAGGCCACAAAAGCAACGUCUGCCCUGAGGAAAUCAAGAAGUGUGUCCGGUGUGGCAAGAAAGGUCAUGUUGUAGCUGAUUGCAAUCGUACAGACAUUGUUUGCUUUAAUUGCAACGGAGAGGGUCACAUUAGUUCACAGUGUACUCAGCCUAAGAGGGCGCCGACUACUGGUAGGGUCUUUGCUUUGACUGGGACUCAGACAGAGAAUGAGGAUCGUUUGAUCAGAGGUACUUGCUAUAUUAAUAAUACUCCUUUAGUUGCUAUUAUUGAUACUGGUGCUACGCAUUGCUUUAUUGCUUUCGAUUGUGUUUCUGCUUUGGGUCUUGAGUUGUCUGAUAUGAAUGGAGAGAUGGUUGUCGAAACUCCAGCUAAGGGUUCGGUGACUACUUCUCUAGUAUGUUUGAAAUGUCCUUUGUCUAUGUUUGGUCGUGAUUUUGAAAUGGAUUUAGUUUGUCUACCUUUGAGUGGUAUGGAUGUGAUUUUGGGUAUGAACUGGUUAGAGUACAACCACGUUCUUAUUAAUUGUUUUAGCAAGUCAGUACAUUUCUCUUCCGUCGAAGAGGAAAGUGGUGCAGAGUUUUUAUCUACUAAGCAGCUGAAGCAACUGGAACGCGACGGUAUCUUGAUGUUUUCGUUAAUGGCUACUUUAUCUAUUGAGAAUCAAGCAGUGAUUGAUAGGUUACCGGUGGUGUGUGAAUUUCCUGAAGUUUUUCCAGAUGAGAUUCCUGAUGUGCCUCCAGAGAGAGAAGUUGAGUUUUCUAUUGAUCUUGUUCCUGGAACGAAGCCGGUCUCGAUGGCACCUUAUCGUAUGUCUGCUUCUGAGUUAUCUGAGUUGAAGAAACAGUUGGAAGACUUGCUUGAGAAGAAGUUUGUUAGACCGAGUGUUUCACCUUGGGGAGCGCCGGUUUUGUUAGUAAAGAAGAAAGAUGGUAGUAUGCGGUUGUGUAUUGAUUAUCGACAGUUGAACAAGGUAACUAUCAAGAAUAGGUAUCCACUUCCGAGAAUUGAUGAUUUGAUGGAUCAGCUAGUGGGUGCACGAGUUUUCAGCAAGAUUGAUUUGAGAUCAGGUUAUCACCAGAUUAAAGUAAAGGAUGAAGAUAUGCAGAAGACAGCUUUCAGAACGCGUUAUGGUCACUAUGAAUAUAAAGUUAUGCCUUUUGGAGUUACCAAUGCACCUGGAGUGUUUAUGGAGUAUAUGAAUCGCAUCUUCCAUGCAUUUCUGGAUCGGUUUGUGGUUGUGUUUAUCGACGAUAUUUUGAUUUACUCCAAGACUGAAGAAGAACAUGCCGAGCAUCUGAAGAUUGUUUUGCAAGUGUUGAAAGAGAAGAAACUUUAUGCCAAAUUGUCUAAGUGUGAAUUUUGGUUGAAAGAAGUGAGUUUUCUAGGCCAUGUUAUUUCUGGUGAUGGAAUUGCAGUGGAUCCGUCUAAAGUCGAAGCUGUAUCGCAAUGGGAUACUCCUAAGUCAGUUACUGAGAUUAGAAGUUUCUUGGGUUUAGCUGGUUACUAUAGAAGGUUUAUUGAAGGGUUUUCUAAGUUAGCUCUUCCGCUAACGCAGUUGACUUGUAAAGGUAAAACUUUUGUGUGGGACGUCCAUUGUGAGAAAAGUUUCGGUGAAUUGAAGAAGCGUUUGACGACCGCUCCAGUGUUAAUUUUGCCGAAAUCAGAUGAACCUUUUGUGGUCUAUUGUGAUGCGUCCAAGUUGGGUUUAGGAGGUGUACUUAUGCAGGAAGGUAAAGUGGUAGCUUAUGCUUCAAGACAGUUGAGGGUUCAUGAGAAGAAUUAUCCUACGCAUGAUCUCGAGUUGGCGGCCGUAGUCUUUGUAUUGAAGAUAUGGAGACAUUACUUGUAUGGUUCGAGAUUUGAAGUGUUUAGUGAUCACAAGAGUUUGAAGUAUUUGUUCGAUCAGAAGGAAUUGAAUAUGAGGCAGCGAAGAUGGCUCGAAUUGUUGAAGGAUUAUGACUUUGGUUUGAAUUAUCAUCCAGGUAAAGCUAAUGUUGUUGCAGAUGCCUUGAGUAGGAAGACAUUGCAUAUGUCCGCCAUGAUGGUCAGAGAGUUCGAAUUGCUUGAACAGUUUAGAGAUAUGAGUUUGGUUUGCGAAUGGUCACCUCAGAGUGUGAAACUGGGUAUGCUGAAGAUUGAUAGUGAAUUUCUGAAAAGUAUCAAGGAAGCACAGAAAGUUGAUGUAAAGUUUGUGGACUUGUUGGUUGCUAGAGAUCAGACUGAAGACAGUGAUUUUAAAAUCGAUGAUCAAGGUGUGUUGAGAUUCCGAGGAAGAAUUUGUAUCCCAGACAAUGAAGAGAUUAAGAAGAUGAUUCUUGAGGAGAGUCAUAGAAGUAGCUUGAGUAUUCAUCCGGGAGCUACGAAGAUGUAUCAUGAUCUAAAGAAGAUUUUCUGGUGGUCUGGUUUGAAACGAGAUGUGGCACAGUUUGUGUAUUCCUGUUUAGUUUGUCAGAAGUCGAAAGUUGAGCAUCAGAAACCUGCUGGGAUGAUGGUACCUUUAGAUGUGCCAGAAUGGAAAUGGGAUAGUAUAUCGAUGGAUUUUGUGACGAGUUUGCCGAAUACUCCGAGAGGGAGCGACGCAAUUUGGGUUAUUGUUGAUAGGUUGACGAAGUCAGCUCAUUUUCUACCUAUUAAUAUUAGUUUCCCUGUUGCCCAGUUGGCAGAGAUUUACAUCAAAGAGAUUGUGAAGCUGCAUGGUGUUCCUUCGAGAAUUGUAUCAGAUAGAGAUCCAAGAUUUACUUCUAGAUUUUGGAAAAGUUUGCAAGAGGCUUUGGGUUCGAAGUUGAGAUUGAGUUCGGCGUAUCAUCCACAGACAGAUGGUCAGUCGGAGAGGACAAUUCAGUCGCUAGAGGAUUUGUUGAGAAUUUGUGUUCUUGAGCAAGGAGGAACUUGGGAUAGUCAUCUUCCGUUGAUCGAGUUCACUUAUAAUAAUAGUUAUCAUUCUAGUAUUGGAAUGGCACCGUUCGAGGCUUUGUAUGGUCGGAGAUGCAGAACUCCGUUGUGUUGGUUUGAAUCAGGAGAAAGAGUGGUCUUAGGACCAGAGAUUGUUCAGCAAACUACUGAGAAAGUUCAGAUGAUCCAAGAGAAAAUGAAGGCGUCGCAGAGUCGACAAAAGAGUUAUCAUGAUAAGCGUAGAAAAGAUCUUGAAUUUCAGGAAGGAGACCACGUGUUUUUGAGAGUCACUCCUAUGACUGGCGUAGGACGUGCUUUGAAGUCAAAGAAGUUGACCCCGAAGUUCAUUGGUCCGUAUCAGAUAUUGGAAAGAGUUGGAACGGUGGCUUACCGAGUGGGUUUACCGCCGCAUCUUGCGAAUUUGCACAACGUUUUCCAUGUGUCGCAACUUCGAAAGUAUGUUCCGGAUCCAUCUCAUGUAAUCCAAAGCGACGAUGUGCAAGUUAGAGACAACCUUACGGUAGAAACUUUACCGUUAAGGAUUGAUGAUCGUAAAGUGAAGACGUUGAGGGGCAAAGAGAUACCUCUCGUGAGAGUCGUUUGGUCGGGAGCGACUGGUGAAAGCUUGACGUGGGAGCUUGAGAGUAAGAUGCUGGAGUCUAAUCCAGAGUUGUUUGCUUGAGGUAAAUUUUCGAGUACGAAAAUCUUUUAAGUGGGGGAGAGUUGUAACGCCCACUUUCGUUUAAUCGUUGAUUUAAUUGAGUUUAGGCAAUUAUAUUAUAAUUAUAUAGUAUAUGCAUGAUUUUGGUAUGUUUUGAUGACUUGAUUGAUGACGUGAUAAGUUAUGAGUUUUGGAGGAUUUGAUUAUGAUAUGAGAUUUAUUUUAUUGUUAAAUAGAAUAAAGAUUUGAAAAUAAUAUAAAAUAUUUAGUUGAGGGCUGUUUUGAUAUUUUAGAUAGUUUUGGGGGAGAAAUUGAGAUAAGAUAAGUAAUUAGGAAGAGAUAUAAAUAGAGAAGACCUAAUUGUUAGAAAAACUGAUUGUACGUGAAAACUUUUGGAAAAGGGAGAAAAGCUUAGAGAGGAGCAAGAGACCAAGAGGGCUGCGAUUUUCUUCAUAACCAGGUAAGGGUGGGACUAAUAACUCAGUAGCAUUAACCUCUGUAAUUCUGAUGAUUAGUUGACAAAGUUAGGAUUGAUUUAGAGAAGUUUUGGAAUUAGGUCAAAACCCUAAAAAUUGAGAAUAAACGGUAAAACUUGUUUAGAUUGAUGUAAGAAUUGUCCUGUAACCUUAGAAUAUGUUUAGGAUGAAUUCUGGAAUCAAAACCAAGCUUAGAACCAUGUGAAACGUCGGAUUUUUGUGAUUUUAGGAAACCUGGCCGUAGCGACAUUCAUCGCUCGCCACGGCGAGCUAUGAUCCUCGCCUCACGAGUGAUGAAGAUUCAUCGCUCGCCACGCGAGCCUUUCCCCUUCGCCUCGCGAGUUGUCUGGUGCAACUCGCCAUGGCGAGCAACCUUUCCUCGCCUCGCGAGCUUAGGCAGAGAGCAUGUCAUAUUUCGUGUUUCGACCUUUUUAGUUGAACCUUGUAUGCCUUUGAGUACCUGAACAUACCUAGUAUUGAUUAGGAAUGAUUUUAGGACAGGAUUGAACCCAGAACAACAUCAGUUUGGGAGAUUAGUGUUACUCGCCAUGGCGAGUAAGGACUCUCGCCUCGCGAGUACAACCAGAAUGUAGUUGCUUGAGUGUUUGUGCGAUCUGUGUCGCAUGUGUUGAUCAGGAGUGAACCCCUAAUUGGUAUUGAGACCUAGUGAUGACGUUUAAUGCAGCCUGUAGAGUUGUUUUAAAUUAUAUUGAUAUUAAUUGAGCAUGAACUAAUGUAUUGUAUAUUCAUGCAAGAUAUGAAGGUUUGAUAAUAAUGCAAUUUAUGUGCUAUUGAUAUAAUGAUAUCAUCUUGAUAUGUGACUUGUUUAUGCUGCUUCCGUUAUUUAACUAAGUGCAUAUGUAUAUGAUAAGGUUUAGCUCCAAAUUAUUGGAUGCAUGUUGAUUACGAUGAUUACGUGUUUUGUUCAUAAGUGUCCAUGCAUAGCAUAUCAUUGAGCUUAGUCCUCACCACGAAUAUGAGGAGCUUUGUCCUCUGCACGUUUUAUAGGAGCUUUGUCCUCCGCACGAUUAAAGUAUAUUAAUACUUAUGAUGACGAUUGGUACCACAUGCAUAUAAGGAGUCUAAGAGCAUUGUCACAUUGUCAUGAUUAAGAUGCCUUGUUGAUAAUGAUUGAAUAUGUGAUUACGUGAUAAGUGUUAUUUGAUAUGUUAUGUUAUUCCUAAUUAUUGGAUAUACGAUUACGUGAUAACUGUUUAGCAAUUAUGCAAAGUUAAUAAUGGAAUGAUUAUGAUGUUAAUUUAUGAUUCUCAAUUACAUUGAUUAAUGUUAUUGUAUUAUGAAAUCUCACCCCUUCUGCUUGAAAAUGUUGCCCUUCGUAUGGGUAACUUGCAGGUGAUCGUGCUUAGUGUGCAGUUGCCGUCGUGAGUGGCCUUGCCUUCACUGUGUCGUCUAGGUCGCUCUGAUACGUAAUGGGAUGGGGUUAUAUGCUAUAACAUGCUUCAUUCUCUUACGUGGAUAAUAUGUUAUUUUUAUUAUGUUAUGGAAUUUGAACUAUUUUGAUGGGGCCUACGUGCCAAAUUGAUUAUGAUUUUUGAACUAAUAUUCCGCUGCUAUGUUAAAGAUAUUUGUGAAGGUUAAAUUAUUAUUUAACUGUUUUUGGAUUACGUUUCUAUGUGAUAUCCCGUUUAUGGCUUUUACUCUGAUAAAUGUUUAAGAAAUUUGUAUAUUGGGAAAACGGGGUGUUACAACAGGACUCUCAAGGGCCGUGGGUAUAUUCUUUGCUGCAUAUCUCUUUUGUAUAGGUGGUUUAUUUCGCACCUUCCGAGUUCCUUCCAUGACAACUCGGAGAACUGGUCCUACUCGCAGCGGAUUAUGGCCCUCACUCCUAAUGAGGUCGUCUGGCUCACUCCUGCCGCUCAGGUGAAGGAAAUCAUUAUGGGUUGUGGGGACUUUCUUAAUGUACCUCUUCUUGCUACUCGUGGAGGAAUUAACUACAACCCCGAGCUUGCUAUGAGACAGUUUGGUUUUCCUAUGAAGUCGAAGCCCAUCAAUCUUGCUACAUCUCCAGAGUUCUUCUUCUACACGAAUGCUCCUACCGGACAAAGGAAAGCUUUCAUGGAUGCUUGGUCUAAGGUUCGAAGGAAGAGUGUGAAGCAUCUAGGUGUGAGAUCCGGUGUCGCUCAUGAGGCCUAUACUCAGUGGGUGAUAGAUCGAGCUGAGGAGAUUGGUAUGCCUUAUCCAGCUAUGAGAUACGUGUCUUCAUCUGCUCCAUCUAUGCCUCUACCUCUACUCCCCACGACUCAGGAUAUGUAUCAGGAACAUCUAGCUAUGGAGAGUCGUGAGUAGCAAGUGUGGAAAGCUCGGUACAAUCAAGCUGAGAAUCUAAUCAUGACUUUGGAUGGCAGAGAUGAGCAGAAGACUCAUGAGAACCUGAUGUUGAAGAAGGAACUAGCUAAGGUCCGGAAGGAAUUGGAAGAGAAAGACGAACUGCUUAUGAGGGAUUCCAAGAGGUAUGGUAAUGGACAUCACAAGAAGAAAGAUACGGAAGUGGGGAUGGUGUCAGCUGGAGCCGGUCAAUCCAUGGCCACUGUUGCUCCUAUCAAUGCAGCCCAAAUGCCUCCGUCAUACCCAUAUGUGCCGUAUUCUCAGCAUCCUUUCUUUCCGCCAUUUUAUCAUCAGUACCCUUUGCCACCGGGCCAACCUCAGGUUCCUGUCAAUGCCAUCGCUCAACAGGUACAACAUCAACCGCCAGUUCAACAGCAGCAGCAGCAAUAUACUAGACCAACUUUUCCUCCUAUACCAAUGUUGUAUGCAGAGCUUCUUCCAACUUUACUCCAGAGAGGACACUGCACGACUAGGCAGGGCAAGCCUCCACCGGGCCCUUUACCUCCAAGGUUCCGCUCUGAUCUUAAGUGUGACUUCCAUCAAGGCGCUUUAGGGCAUGAUGUUGAGGGGUGCUAUGCUCUAAAGUACAUCGUCAAGAAGCUUAUAGAUCAAGGGAAGUUAACUUUUGAGAACAAUAUGCCACAUGUCCUCGAUAAUCCGCUCCCAAAUCAUGCUGCCGUGAAUAUGAUUGAGAUAUGUGAAGAGGUUCCCGUGCUGGAUGUCCGCAAUGUUGCAACUCCUCUGGUACCACUCCAUAUCAAGUUGUGCCAAGCUUUAUUGUUUGAACAUGAUCAUGUUGAAUGCCAAGAAUGUUCCCGCAAUCCUUUGGGUUGCCAUGUCGUCCAAAACGAUGUCCAGAGCUUGAUGGACAGCAAUCACCUUACUGUCAGUGAUGUUUGCGUAAUUGUGCCGGUCUUUCACGAUAUACCUGAUAAGAGGGUGCCUUUGAGGGAGAGCGUUGAGCCGUUGGUGAUAAGGUUGCCAGGACCAAUUCCUUAUGUUUCGGACAAGGCUGUUCCAUACAAAUACAAUGCUACUAUGAUAGAAAAUGGAGUAGAGGUGCCUCUAGCCUCCUUUGCCACAGUAAGCAAUAUUGCCGAAGGGACUUCUGCAGCGCUAAGAAGCGGGAAGGUCCGUCCGCCGUUAUUUCAGAAGAAGGUAGCUACGCCAACCACUCCACCAGUUGAAGAAGCAACUCCAACCGUUGUUUCACCCAUUGCUACAGAUAUGAACCAGCCAGGCAAAUCUAUAGAGGAUUCGAAUUUAGAUGAGAUUCUGAGGAUAAUAAAAAGGAGCGACUACAAGAUCGUUGAUCAAUUGCUGCAAACUCCUUCAAAGAUAUCUGUCUUGUCGUUACUCUUGAGCUCUGAGGCUCACAGGAAUACCUUGUUGAAAGUGCUGGAGCAGGCUUAUGUUGAUCACGAAGUCACGGUAGAUCGUUUCGGUGGCAUAGUGGGAAAUAUUACUGCUUGUAACAACCUCUGGUUUAGUGAAGAAGAGUUGCCGAAAGUGGGAAAGAGUCACAAUCUGGCUUUGCACAUCUCGGUGAAUUGCAAAUCAGACAUGAUAUCAAAUGUGUUGGUGGAUACGGGUUCCUCCCUCAAUGUAAUGCCCAAGUCAACUCUAGAUCAGUUGAGCUACCGGGGGAUCCCCCUGAGGAGGAGUACUUUCUUGGUCAAAGCUUUUGACGGAUCUCGAAAGAAUGUGCUGGGGGAGAUAGACUUGCCGAUAACCAUUGGCCCUGAGAAUUUCUUGAUUACCUUCCAAGUGAUGGACAUUAAUGCAUCCUACAGUUGUCUGCUGGGAAGACCGUGGAUACACGAUGCGGGUGCGGUAACCUCCACCUUACAUCAGAAGUUGAAGUUCAUAAGAAGUGGAAAGCUUGUUACCAUUCAUGGAGAGGAAGCAUACUUGGUUAGCCAGCUAUCAUCUUUCUCUUGCAUAGAAGCAGGGUCUGCAGAGGGGACCGCUUUUCAAGGUUUAACUCUCGAAGGUACGGAGCCCAAGAGGGAUGGAACUGCAAUGGCUUCUUUGAAGGAUGCACAGAGAGCCGUCCAAGAGGGUCAAGCUGCCGGCCGGGGCAAGUUAAUACAGCUUCGUGAGAAUAAGCAUAAGGAAGGUCUUGGCUUUUCCUCAACUUCAGGAGUUUCCACCGGGGCAUUCUGUAGUGCUGGGUUUGUCAACGCAAUCACAGAAGAAGCGACUGGAUUUGGCCCGAGGCCUGUAUUUGUUACACCAGGGGGCUUUGCGAGUGAUUGAGAUGCCAUUGACAUUCCCUCAAUCAUGCAUGUUUCUGAGUAAUAUACCUUGUUGCUUGAGUAUCUUGUUUUUCAAAAUAACAAUCCUCUCGCUCUGCCCAAAGCGAGAGUGAUAUUUUCUGUAAGGGCAUGUUUGUUUCGGCAUUGCCGUUGAUUAAUAAAAAAUUGUCGUUUCCUUCACGACUGUUUUUUUUAGUGUCUUUUUUCCCUUGGAAAUAAUGGUAAUGCCAGAAAAAACCAAAACAUCUGUAUUUUCUUAUUAAUUUCAAAAAUCUGCAUAAAAACCCUCUUUCUAAAAUCAUCCAACCAUUUUACGCAGAUUGAACUAUAAUGAACCCGUUGGGCACAGUAAUCCUGCAUUCUCUCCGAAUUUUGAGUUUCCAGUGUAUGAAGCCGAAGAUGAGGAAGGUGAUGACAUACCAUAUGAGAUCACUCGGUUACUGGAGCAAGAAAAGAAAGCCAUUCAGCCUCACCAGGAAGAGAUUGAGCUUAUCAACAUAGGUACCGAGGAGAACAAGCGAGAAAUCAAGAUCGGUGCUGCUCUAGAGGAAGGGGUUAAAAAGAGGAUCAUCCAACUCCUCCGGGAAUAUCCGGAUAUUUUUGCAUGGUCGUAUGAAGAUAUGCCAGGUCUAGAUUCUAAGAUUGUGGAGCAUCGGAUCCCCACCAAGCCUGAAUGUCCUCCCGUCAGGCAGAAAUUGAGAAGGACUCAUCCAGAUAUGGCUCUCAAGAUUAAGAGCGAGGUUCAAAAACAGAUUGAUGCGGGUUUCCUCAUGACAGUUGAGUACCCUGAAUGGGUUGCCAAUAUUGUACCUGUGCCAAAGAAGGAUGGUAAAGUCCGGAUGUGUGUUGACUUCAGAGACCUGAACAAAGCCAGUCCAAAAGACAACUUUCCGUUACCUCAUAUUGAUGUGCUUGUUGAUAAUACUGCUCAGUCUAAGGUGUUUUCCUUCAUGGAUGGUUUCUCCGGUUACAAUCAGAUCAAAAUGUCUCCUGAAGAUAGAGAAAAGACGUCUUUUAUCACUCCAUGGGGUACUUUCUGCUACAAAGUGAUGCCAUUCGGUCUAAUUAAUGCUGGUGCUACCUACCAAAGAGGGAUGACUACUCUGUUUCAUGACAUGAUUCACAAAGAAGUCGAAGUAUAUGUGGAUGAUAUGAUUGUAAAGUCAACAGAUGAGGAGCAACAUGUUGAAUAUUUGACAAAGAUGUUUGAAAGGUUGAGAAAAUACAAGCUUCGAUUGAAUGCCAACAAAUGUACAUUCGGCGUCAGAUCCGGGAAGUUAUUAGGCUUCAUUGUCAGCCAAAAGGGCAUUGAAGUCGAUCCUGAUAAAGUCCGGGCCAUCCGAGAAAUGCCAGCUCCACAGACUGAGAAGCAAGUCAGAGGUUUCCUCGGGCGUUUGAAUUACAUCUCCCGGUUCAUAUCUCACAUGACCGCAACCUGCGGGCCGAUCUUCAAGCUACUCAGAAAGAAUCAGCCUAUCGUAUGGAAUGAUGAAUGCCAAGAAGCUUUUGAUAGCAUCAAGAAUUACCUGCUAGAACCACCUAUCCUUGUCCCACCCGUGGAAGGAAGGCCUUUGAUUAUGUAUUUGGCAGUAUUUGAUGAAUCCAUGGGAUGCGUACUUGGUCAACAAGAUGAGACUGGAAAGAAAGAACAUGCUAUCUACUAUCUAAGCAAGAAGUUCACCGAUUGUGAAACUCGGUAUGCAAUGCUUGAGAAGACUUGUUGUGCUCUGGCCUGGGCCGCUAAACGCCUGCGUCAUUAUCUGGUGAAUCAUACAACUUGGUUGAAAUCCAGAAUGGAUCCGAUAAAGUAUAUCUUUGAGAAAGCUGCUGUUACUGGAAAGAUUGCACGCUAGCAGAUGCUGUUGUCUGAAUAUGAUAUUGUGUUCAAAACUCAAAAGGCAAUCAAAGGUAGCAUUCUUGCCGAUCACCUUGCUUACCAACCUCUUGAUGAUUAUCAACCAAUUGAAUUUGAUUUCCCCGAUGAAGAGAUCAUGUAUUUGAAAUCCAAAGACUGCGAAGAACCGUUGAUUGAGGAAGGUCCGGAUCCCAAUAGCAAGUGGGGUUUAGUCUUUGAUGGUGCUGUCAAUGCUUAUGGUAAAGGAAUCGGGGCAGUCAUUGUAUCCCCGCAGGGGCAUCACAUUCCUUUUACCGCCCGAAUUUUGUUCGAAUGUACCAACAAUAUGGCUGAGUAUGAAGCAUGUAUCUUUGGGAUCGAGGAAGCUAUUGACAUGAGAAUCAAACACCUCGACAUCUAUGGAGAUUCUGCGCUCGUCAUCAAUCAGAUAAAGGGUGAAUGGGAGACCCACCAUGCUAAGUUGAUUCCUUAUCGUGAUUAUGCGAGACGUUUGCUGACAUAUUUUACAAAGGUUGAGUUGCACCAUAUCCCUCGUGAUGAGAACCAAAUGGCUGAUGCUCUUGCUACUCUAUCCUCCAUGUUUCGAGUAAACCAUUGGAAUGAUGUGCCAAUAAUCAAAGUGCAACGCCUUGAAAGACCUUCGCAUGUGUUUGCUAUUGGGGAUGUGAUCGAUCAGGCUGGUGAAAAUGCGGUUGACUAUAAACCCUGGUACUACGACAUCAAACAGUUCUUGCUGAGCCGUGAGUAUCCGUCGGGUGCUUCCAAACAAGAUAAGAAGACCCUGAGAAGAUUGGCCAGUAGAUUCCUGUUAGAUGGAGAUAUUCUGUACAAGAGAAACUAUGACAUGGUGUUGUUAAGAUGUGUCGAUGAACAUGAAGCGGAGCAGUUAAUGCAUGAUGUACAUGAUGGUACCUUCGGGACCCAUGCUACAAGGCAUACUAUGUCAAGGAAGUUGUUGCGAGCAGGUUACUACUGGAUGGCCAUGGAGCAUGAUUGCUACCAGCACGCCAGAAAGUGCCACAAAUGUCAAAUCUAUGCUGAUAAGAUUCAUGUGCCUCCGCACGCUCUCAAUGUUAUUUCAUCCCCAUGGCCGUUCUCAAUGUGGGGCAUCGACAUGAUUGGAAGAAUUGAACCAAAGGCUUCAAAUGGUCAUCGCUUCAUCUUAGUGGCAAUUGACUACUUCACCAAGUGGGUUGAAGCAGCAUCUUAUACCAAUGUGACCAAGCAAGUGGUAGCUAAGUUCAUCAAGAACAACAUCAUCUGUCGAUAUGGUGUUCCCAGCAAGAUUAUUACCGACAAUGGUACCAACCUGAACAACAAUGUGGUGCAAGCUCUUUGUGAAGAAUUCAAAAUUGAGCAUCAUAACUCUUCUCCCUAUAGACCUCAGAUGAAUGGUGCAGUUGAGGCCGCCAACAAGAAUAUCAAGAGAAUUGUCCGGAAGAUGGUAACCACUUACAAGGACUAGCAUGAGAUGUUACCCUAUGCUCUGCACGGCUACCGUACUACCGUGCGCAGUUCAACCGGGGCAACCCCUUUCUCUCUUGUAUAUGGUAUGGAAGCAGUUCUUCCUUUGGAAGUGGAGAUCCCAUCUCUCCGUGUGAUAAUGGAAGCAAAGUUAUCUGAGGCUGAAUGGUGCCAAAACCGGUAUGAUCAGUUGAAUUUGAUUGAGGAAAAACGUAUGGAUGCCAUGGCUCGUGGACAGUCAUAUCAAGCAAGAAUGAAGACUGCUUUUGACAAGAAAGCCCAUCCUCGAGAAUUCAAGGUAGGGGAACUUGUAUUGAAAAGGAGGAUAAGCCAGCAACCCGACCCAAGGGGGAAGUGGACGCCUAACUAUGAAGGUCCUUAUGUUGUCAAGAAGGCCUUCUCCGGUGGUGCUUUAAUCCUUACACACAUGGAUGGUGUAGAACUUCCAAAUCCAGUGAAUGCCGAUAUAGUCAAGAAAUACUUUGCCUAGAAAUAUGAAAAGAACAGCGUGGUAGGUCGAAAACCCGAAAGGGCGGCCUAGGCAAAAAUGCGCUUCCCGGUGGAUCGAAAACCCGAAAGGGCGGUCCAGGCAAAAAUAAGGGACAAAAAAAUAUAUGAAAAGCUCGCUGAGAUUGUACACAACUCAGGCAAGAAUGAGCGUCUCGAUGAGCCGAAAACCCGGAAGGGCGGUUCAUGCAAAAAUGAGAUUGAAACAAAAGGCAAGUAACUAUAUCUGGCCAACCACCGUCCCCCUUGGGGCAUCUGCAGCUGUUAAUGACCAUCUUCAUCAAAAGCGAAUGCUUGCGAAUUCAAAGUUUCUAGGAAAUGUCAUGAUCACUGUGUUCAAUGUACCACCAACCAAUAAAAUUACCAUUUUCCAAGCUUUGUAAAUCCGUGGAGUCACACCUUCGGCUGACCACCCCUCUUAUACAUCAAAUUGAGCCUGUGCUUUUGUUUAAAACUCUAUUUUCUUCUACUUUCAAAGCUAUAUACAAAACAUUUUCCUUCUAUUUUGAUAAUGACAAUGCUUGAAACAAACAUUUUUUUUGAAAAUUGAAAACUUUUUGUCUAUUUUGAAAAGCAAACCUGAGCAACAGGGUACAUUCAAAUGAAACAUGCAUGAGCGAGAGUAUGUUGAUGUCUAUUUCAAUAUAUGUUACAAGCAGGUUCUCCUCCAGGAUAGUCUGUGGUCAAUGGCAAGAAUGAAAAAACAGAAUGAAAAUGCAUGAAAUUGAAUAGGCUCGCUAAGUUGAAAACCCGAAAGGGCGGCUUAGGCAAAAAUGAGCACCCUGCUGGAUUGACAACCCGAAAGGGCAGUUCAGGCAAAAAUGGGGCAUUGAAAAGAAUUUAUUUCCCCGGUGGGUCGAAAACCCGAAAGGGCGAUCCAGGCAAAAAUGGGAUGCAAAAAAUGAAUGAUGAAAGUUGAGAAAAUAACAUGCAAAAAGCAUUGACCACAGAUGCGACAUCCACGGUACAUCCGGCAUUAUUUCCAGUAGAGUCUCCCAAGAUUCUAUCCCCAGCAAGUUGCAUAGCUACCGGCCCUCAGCCUAGGUCCCGAAACGUCUCCCAACGACGUCAUCUCCAAAGAGGAUUUCCAAGAAUGUGUAAUAUAGCACGAGCCACUACGUGCCCAAUACUCUGAUGUCUUGUCUUCCCCGUGAUGUCGUGCCUACAAAAUGCCAACAGUCAUGCAUUACAAGCAUUCAUACAUGCAUAAUCAUGCAUAUUACGUGCCCAUGCAUUUAAUGAAACUGUUAUAUCAUCCGUGCAUAUUGCAUUUCCAAUGUCAACAUCAGUCUCAAUUCGAUACUCAUGUCAGGUUCUCUGUCAAAACCUUGUGAGCCAAUAAUAUCGGUCAAUUUCUGCCUUUCAAUUCAAAUCGACGUCAAGUCAAUCUCAAUCUAUAUUUUGUCAAAAAAAAACCAAUCCCCAGUGAAUAUGUUUCUGUUUGGUCAAGUGGCUAGUUCAAGUCCAAGAACAGCUUGUACCUAUCAAUUUGCUUAUGUUAUCGGUCGAGUGCCCAGCUCAAUCCAAGAGCAGCUUGUACCUGUCAAUAUGUUUCCGUUUGGUCAAGUGGCUAGCUCAAUCCAAGAGCAGCUUGUACUUGUCUAUCUGUUUCUGUCCGGUGGAGUAACCAGUUCGCAUCCAAGAACAAGCUCACACCUGUUUAUUUGCCUUUGCUUUCGGUCGAGUGACCAGUUCGAAUCCAAGAACAACUCGUACCUAUCUACUUUUCCAUGACCCCGGUCGAGUUACCAGUUCGAAUCCAAGAACAGCUCGUACCUGUCUAUGUGUCUAUGAUUUUGGGUCAAGUGGCUAGUUCAAGUCCAAGAACAGCUUGUACCCGUCUAUCUGUUUCUGUUCGCUCAAGUGGCUAGCUCGAUCCAAGAGCAGCUUGCGCCUGUCUAUUUUGUAUUUGUCUCCGGUGGAGUAACCAGUUCGCAUCCAAGAACAAGCUCGCACCUGUCUAUUUGCCUUGCUUUCAGUCGAGUAACCAGUUCGAAUCCUUAAGAACAACUCGUACCUGCCAAUUUUACAUGUUUUCAGUCGAGUCACCAGUUCGAAUCCAUAAGAACAACUCGUACUUGUCAAUUUUCUCUUUUUCCAGUCGAGUCACCAGUUCGAAUCCGUAAGAACAACUCGUACUUGCCAAUUUUCUCUUUUUCCCAGUCGGGUCACCAGUUCGAAUCCAUAAGAACAACUCGCACUUUCCAAUAUCCCCAAGUGAGUUACCAGUUCGAAUCCAUAAGAACAACUCAUGUUUGUCCAGUAACCUCUAUCCCCUGUGAAGUGACCAGUUCGAAUCCAUAAGAACAACUCGCAGUUGUCUGUUUGUUUCAUCCCCGGUCAAGUGGCUAGUUUGAAUCCAAGAACAGCUUGUACCUGUCCAACUUGUUUCUAGUUUCCCGUUACUCUGCUAUUCACUAUCUUUGUCAAUGUCUACCAAUCCCGCAAUGGAUACGACAUAUUUUGUUAAUUCCAAUCCCCAUGAGGUCUUGCAUUCAUAAUCCAAAUGAUGCAUGGCAUGCAUAUUAUUUGAAAUUGGGUAGGCGUAUUUUUACGUCCAAACACAGUGCAAAUGCUAAUAUUUAAGUAUCUUCGUCCUGUCAAGCCAAAGACUCCGUCUCUUGACUCUCCAGACAAAGAAACUUAAAUAGGGGCAGCUGUUAUACCCUGUUUUUGGACCUAAAAAUAUUGGGCCCAAUUUCAUUUCAAACUUUGUCAAUUAUCAAAUUUCAACUGCACAGUUCAAAUCGUCUCUGCCUCGCAGUAUUUUCAAUCACAAUUUUACCUAUGUUUUUCUUGCGUAAAACCUUUCGAAAUGUCUUUACUUGUCUUGUAAGUCAUUCAAAAGUGUCUCUGAAUCAUUAUAUUGCUUUUUCUACAGUUUAUUUCAAAAUUUGCAAAAAAGUCAUACAGAAGGGUAUUUUGGUCAUUUCCUGCAGUGGGACCCAUUUUCAUCCUUGUGACUGUCUCUGAGUCUUUUCAGAUUGAUUUUAACAUUUCAUCAGUAAACCUUGUUAAAUUCAUUUCAAACUUGAAUCUGAGUCAGUGACAGGUCAAUUUGAAUCUGUUUAGGUCGUUUUUAGCUCUAGGGGCAUUUUGGUCAUUUCACACAAAAUUUCGGCAUAGAGAGGUUACUUUGAAGUACCUCAUUUAAGUCAUUGGUUCGUUUUAGUCCGUUUUGUCAAUUUUAUUUUUUAUUUCGCUUUACGUUUGGUCAAAUUACGUUUUUUAUUCAAUUUUAUUUUUAAUUGCAUUUUGGUCCCUCAAUCGAGGUCCCAAAAUUGCAUUUUUUGUCCAAACAGUUUUUUAUUUUCAUUUCAGUCCUUACUUUCAUUUUUCAGUCCAGUCCAUAUAUUUUUCAAAAUUGCAAACAGGUCCUUCAAGAUUAAAGUUACAGGGCAGCCCUUUUUUUUUCAGUCCAAGGCCACAUGUCAGCUUUCUAUUGGUCCAAGAUCACACAUGUCAGCUAUAAAAACAACACAGUGUCAGAUUUUCAGGAUCAGAUACACAAUCAUUGAAAUCAUCACAAACAGAUUUUUUUUCUCUCUCCAUUCAGUUACAGAUCAAAACAAAAAGUUCUCCAAGAACAAGCAAGAACAACCAAAAACCCUAACUGUUUCCAGAACCGGAUUCAGCAACAAAUUCACCAAUUCUCAGAGAUUCACUGAUGAAUCUUCAUCAUUGAAUUGAUCCCCCUGCAAUUCAAGGUACGAAUUCCUCACCGGAGGCGAGGAACUCCAGCACCGAUCACAGAGAAGAGAAAAAACGUGAGGAAACGGAAAGCCAGAACCGAAUCGCAAAACACAAAGCCGGAAACGCAAAGCUAGAACCGGAAAGCCAGAAACACAAAGCCGGAAACGCAAAGCUAGAACCGGAAAGUCAGAAACACAAAGCCGGAAACGCAAAACGUGAAGAACCGCAAAGCCAGAAUCGCAAAGCACAGCGGAAAGGUAAUCCUCUUCACUUUCCCCUUCCUUUUUUCUUCCUUUUUUUUAAAAAAAAA